CAGUAGCCACGGUAAUACGUAGGGUGCGAGCGUUAAUCGGAAUUACUGGGCGUAAAGCGUGCGCAGGCGGUUUUGUAAGACAGGCGUGAAAUCCCCGGGCCCAACCUGGGAAUGGCGCUUGUGACUGCAAAGCUAGAGUGCGGCAGAGGGGGAUGGAAUUCCGCGUGUAGCAGUGAAAUGCGUAGAUAUGCGGAGGAACACCGAUGGCGAAGGCAAUCCCCUGGGCCUGCACUGACGCUCAUGCACGAAAGCGUGGGGAGCAAACAGGAUUAGAUACCCGCGUAGUCCCUGUCUCUUAUAC
This 301-nucleotide ribosomal RNA is filed under the name uncultured bacterium. RNAcentral's name for it is "partial 16S ribosomal RNA". It matches the Rfam family "Bacterial small subunit ribosomal RNA", at positions 509 to 807 of the family's 1533-position model. The record is from RNAcentral.